UACGUAGGGGGCUAGCGUUGUCCGGAAUCAUUGGGCGUAAAGCGCGUGUAGGCGGCCCGGUAAGUCCGCUGUGAAAGUCCAGGGCUCAACCCUGGGAUGCCGGUGGAUACUGUCGGGCUCGAGUCCGGAAGAGGCGAGUGGAAUUCCUGGUGUAGCGGUGAAAUGCGCAGAUAUCAGGAGGAACACCAAUGGCGAAGGCAGCUCGCUGGGACGUGACUGACGCUGAGACGCGAAAGCGU
Molecule: ribosomal RNA, 239 nt
Filed under: uncultured bacterium
Lineage: Bacteria
Description: partial 16S ribosomal RNA
Rfam family: Bacterial small subunit ribosomal RNA
Source: RNAcentral